Clostridiales bacterium GWE2_32_10 is the source of this 73-nucleotide non-coding RNA. The record is from Rfam. Lineage: Bacteria; Bacillati; Bacillota; Clostridia; Eubacteriales.
GGGCUAUUAGCUCAGUUGGUAGAGCACUGGACUUUUAAUCCAGUUGUCCCGGGUUCGAGCCCCGGAUGGCUCA